Cinara cedri is the source of this 934-nucleotide non-coding RNA. Lineage: Eukaryota; Metazoa; Arthropoda; Insecta; Hemiptera; Aphididae. The record is from the annotation of a GenBank genome assembly.
UAAUAACAUUUUAGAUAGUUAGGUAGGGUAUUAUCGUAAAUUAUUAAUAUUGCCUCCUGUUGCCUACCUAUACUAUACUAAUAAUUUAAAAAAAAAAUCUUAUGAUUAUAAAGCACUGCAUCAGUUAUAAUAGUUAUUUGUUGUUAUUGAUAUUGCAGUUUGAUCGGCCACUUUUAAGUGUGUACACAAAUUAUCACGCUGCUGUUGUAAAUAUUGGAAUGGAUUUUAAUGGCUUUAGAGUUUCAACAACGGGCGGUGUCCAUUGACACGCGUCAUUAAUUCUGUCGGGCGAUAAAAUAUGUUAAUUAACGCGCACUUUUUUUUUUAAUUUUAUUUCAAUACCCACCUACCGCGCCAAAUAGAAUAUAAUAAUAUAGGUAGUCUCAUCGAUUUACGCGAAAAAUCGUAUCGAAAGGUAGCUGACUAAUUAAAAUGGAGAAAAAAAUACGUAAAAACUGCAACACCUGGGUUACAACAGUAGCAAGUUAUACCGCUGAGCUAGCUAAAAAACAAUUGGUAGACUAAAAAAAAAAAAACAACACAGGAACCAGCUAUUGUCGUUGAAAAAUCUACGUUAUUUCGUUAUGAUAUUAUUAUUAAGAUGCUCCGACAAUUUUUUUUUUUUGAUAAGUCAUCAAGAGUUAGAAAAAAAAAACAAUAACAAUAGGUAACCAAUAUUUUUGAAUACGAAGCACUAAAAUACUAUAGGCAUCUGUAAUAUUAUUAUCUCUAUAAACUUUAUAAUAUUAUAAUAGAACAUAACAUUAUAUUACAUCACAUUAAUCUGACAUCAUACGAUACUGUAGUUUUUCGAUUUCCGUCGAAUAAUGAGUUACACGCCGCACUGGGAAUUCAUUAUUUUUGAUAUUAUAAUCCCGCGAUAUUUAAAUCAAUUUGUUCGAAUUAAUACUAUAACAUUAUAGGUACCUACAAA